Molecule: transfer RNA, 65 nt
Filed under: Leiodes picea
Lineage: Eukaryota; Metazoa; Arthropoda; Insecta; Coleoptera; Leiodidae
Description: tRNA-Cys
Source: RNAcentral
GGUUUAGUAAUCAAAAUGGAUGAUUUUAAAUUGCAAAUUUAAAUGUAGAUUAUUUCUCUAAACUU